AAUGGACACAUUAUGUAUCAUCCGAGUGAAGCAACGGCAAACCAAGAAACGAGAUGCAUAGGAGUAGUUUACUGUUGGAAGCUGUACGAGGCGAUGACAGUUGACAUCCAUCGUGACGUCGCUUACAUUGUGACGUAA
Molecule: long non-coding RNA, 138 nt
Organism: Haliotis rubra (blacklip abalone)
Lineage: Eukaryota; Metazoa; Mollusca; Gastropoda; Lepetellida; Haliotidae
Exons: 3
Source: RefSeq, a predicted model, not a curated record